GCAGUAAAUGGGAGACCAUUUUCUCACAGUGGUUUCUGGUAGGGCCUUCAGAGUAGAGAAGUUCAAAGAAUGCUUACCUGACAAAUGGAAUCCGAAGUUGGCAGAGGCCUGAAGACAAAGGCUACAUCAAAUACAUCUGGAAAUUUCACUGGUUCUACAUUUAAAGUAUCUUCAGAAUUUAGAAAGUUCUUCAGACAAAAGGAAUAUGAGACCAACCAUAAACUUGGAUAUACAUCAAGAAAUGAAGAAAAUUAGAACUGGAAUCAAGCAAGAGAGGGAGAGCACAAGCAGA
This is a long non-coding RNA of Lontra canadensis (Northern American river otter), 292 nucleotides long. RefSeq lists it as uncharacterized. Lineage: Eukaryota; Metazoa; Chordata; Mammalia; Carnivora; Mustelidae. The transcript has 3 exons. The record is from RefSeq and is a predicted model, not a curated record.